CUCCAGUUGGAUGCAUGUCCUUCUGGGAAAGAUUCAUCGGUAUGGGAUGGGGUCGCGUCCUAUCAGCUUGAUGGCGGGGUAACGGCCCACCAUGGCUUCGACGGGUAGCCGGCCUGAGAGGGCGACCGGCCACAUUGGGACUGAGAUACGGCCCAGACUCCUACGGGAGGCAGCAGUGGGGAAUAUUGCACAAUGGGCGCAAGCCUGAUGCAGCGACGCCGCGUGCGGGAUGACGGCCUUCGGGUUGUAAACCGCUUUUGACUGGGAGCAAGCCCUUCGGGGUGAGUGUACCUUUCGAAUAAGCACCGGCUAACUACGUGCCAGCAGCCGCGGUAAUACGUAGGGUGCAAGCGUUAUCCGGAAUUAUUGGGCGUAAAGGGCUCGUAGGCGGUCCGUCGCGUCCGGUGUGAAAGUCCAUCGCUUAACGGUGGAUCCGCGCCGGGUACGGGCGGG
RNAcentral lists this ribosomal RNA (453 nucleotides) under uncultured Bifidobacterium sp. RNAcentral describes it as "bacterial SSU rRNA". It matches the Rfam family "Bacterial small subunit ribosomal RNA", at positions 173 to 640 of the family's 1533-position model. Lineage: Bacteria; Bacillati; Actinomycetota; Actinomycetes; Bifidobacteriales; Bifidobacteriaceae. The record is from RNAcentral.